GCUUGGGUGGCUCAGUCGGUUAAGCGUCUGACUUCGGCUCAGGUCAUGAUCUUAACGGUGUGUGGGUUUGAGCCCCGCCUCAGGCU
Molecule: transfer RNA, 86 nt
Organism: Felis catus (domestic cat)
Lineage: Eukaryota; Metazoa; Chordata; Mammalia; Carnivora; Felidae
Rfam family: tRNA
About the family: Transfer RNA (tRNA) molecules are approximately 80 nucleotides in length. Their secondary structure includes four short double-helical elements and three loops (D, anti-codon, and T loops).
Source: Rfam